Molecule: ribosomal RNA, 433 nt
Filed under: uncultured bacterium
Lineage: Bacteria
Description: partial 16S ribosomal RNA
Rfam family: Bacterial small subunit ribosomal RNA
Source: RNAcentral
AACGAACGCUGGCGGCAUGCCUAAUACAUGCAAGUCGAACGAGACCUUCGGGUCUAGUGGCGUAUGGGUGCGUAACGCGUGGGAACCUGCCCUUAGGUUCGGAAUAACUCCCCGAAUGGGGUGCUAAUACCGGACAAUGUCUUCGGACCAAAGAUUUAUCGCCUUUGGAUGGGCCCGCGUUGGAUUAGCUAGUUGGUAGGGUAAAAGCCUACCAAGGCGACGAUCCAUAGCUGGUCUGAGAGGAUGAUCAGCCACACUGGGACUGAGACACGGCCCAGACUCCUACGGGAGGCAGCAGUGGGGAAUAUUGGACAAUGGGCGAAAGCCUGAUCCAGCAAUGCCGCGUGAGUGAUGAAGGCCUUAGGGUUGUAAAGCUCUUUUACCCGGGAUGAUAAUGACAGUACCGGGAGAAUAAGCUCCGGCUAACUCCGUG